GGUUGAUCCUGCCAGUAGUCAUAUGCUUGUCUCAAAGAUUAAGCCAUGCAUGUCUAAGUAUAAGCUGCUUAUACUGUGAAACUGCGAAUGGCUCAUUAAAUCAGUUAUAGUUUAUUUGAUGGUACCUUACUACUCGGAUAACCGUAUAGAAUUAAUGCGGUAGUGGCUGGGUCAAACCGGCUGCUAGUGGGGCUCCGCCCUGCAACACUGUCAAAUUGCCGGGAAAUCCUGCCAGGCCAGUGGUACCGCCCCCUCGAUGAAAGUCGUGUGGGCACUGCGGGGAAACUCGUAGG
Molecule: ribosomal RNA, 293 nt
Filed under: uncultured eukaryote
Lineage: Eukaryota
Description: partial 18S ribosomal RNA
Rfam family: Eukaryotic small subunit ribosomal RNA
Source: RNAcentral